RNAcentral lists this microRNA precursor (78 nucleotides) under Podarcis muralis (Common wall lizard). Its description in RNAcentral is "mir-92 microRNA precursor family". It matches the Rfam family "mir-92 microRNA precursor family". Rfam says of the family: This family represents the microRNA precursor mir-92. Human miR-92 has two predicted hairpin precursor sequences: mir-92-1 on chromosome 13 and mir-92-2 on chromosome X. miR-92 has also been cloned from mouse embryonic stem cells. The record is from Rfam by way of RNAcentral. RNAcentral also lists the same sequence under 1 other name. Lineage: Eukaryota; Metazoa; Chordata; Lepidosauria; Squamata; Lacertidae.
CUUUCUACACAGGUUGGGAUAAGUUGCAAUGCUGUGUGUGUCAGUGGUAUUGCACUUGUCCCGGCCUGUUGAGGUUGG